UGUGUAGGUGGAUCGUUAAGUACCUUGUGAAAUCCCACGGCUUAACCGUGGAACUGCUUGGUAUACUGGCGGUCUUGAGCCAGCUAGGGGCUACCGGAACAAAUGGUGGAGCGGUGAAAUGCGUAGAUAUCAUUUGGAACGCCAAUGGUGAAAACAGGUAGCUGGGGCUGUGCUGACACUGAGACACGAAAGCCAGGGGAGCAAACG
This 207-nucleotide ribosomal RNA is filed under the name uncultured bacterium. Its description in RNAcentral is "partial 16S ribosomal RNA". It matches the Rfam family "Bacterial small subunit ribosomal RNA", at positions 568 to 774 of the family's 1533-position model. The record is from RNAcentral.